RNAcentral lists this ribosomal RNA (663 nucleotides) under Triticum aestivum (bread wheat). RNAcentral describes it as "partial small subunit ribosomal RNA". The record is from RNAcentral. Lineage: Eukaryota; Viridiplantae; Streptophyta; Magnoliopsida; Poales; Poaceae.
UUACUUGUUACCCUCUGGUUGAUAUGGUGGGCAAGGAGGAAAGUCAUUCAUGAGGAGCAGUUUCAGUCACCUCUAACUACUUUUUCUUUCAUAAAAGGGUAUCUACAGGACAUACAUGAGGCCGAGCUAGUCCAUCUCCGGCCUGCAGUCCAACAUCCGAGAAUGCAUGUACGUCAUCGGGCCACAUGGAGACCACCUGCAGCGGGUUCAAUUAAAAUUCAUGUUGACGCUGCGGUCGGGAGGCACGGUGAUAGGGGGGCCUUUGCUGCUAUUUGCCGAGAUGAUUCAGGUAACUUUUUGGGUGCGUCGGCGGUUUCUGUUGCUGAACUCAUUUUACCGGAGGUUCUGGAGGCCAUGGCAGCAAAUGAGGCUCUUUCUCUAGCAAAGGAUCUUGCCUGCACUCGGAUUGUGGUGGCUACUGAUUGUCUGAAUACAGUGAUCCACCUCAAGUCUGAUUAUUUGGGAGCUUCUAAAGCAAUCAUCUUUGAGCUGAGGAAGAGUUUGAAGGAUUUUGCUUCGGCCGAUGAUUUGCACGAGAAAAGAGACUCAAAUUUAGAAGCACAUUCCUUAGCUAAAGCUGCUAUUUCUUUACCUUUUGGUAGACAUGUUUGGCUGGCUGUGAAGCCAAACUUAAUCUGUAUCCCUGACAAUAUUCUGAGUUAA